GUGAGGAGGUGUACUGCCAUUGAUGCUAAGUCCACAGGCCUCAUUAUUUUAUGACUUUGAUGCAGCCAUGUGUCCCCUCAUUCCUGAUAUAAUUUGACAGUCUCAUAGCUGCCUUUCUGUGCUUUCCAGUCUGGUGUCAAUCAGCCCUGGUAAGCCAUUAUCUGAGGAACUUCUCUAUGUCCACCACAACCCUUGGGUCACCAAGGAUGUAUCCAGGCUCAGAUAGGAUGUCUGUUGUCGCAACCCACCGGUUGAGAACCUGUGAGAUAGUACAUGAUUUUUUUUCUCAUGGCCGUGACCACAUACCUGGCAAGAAGCAAAUGUGAGUGAUGAGAGAGCAGGCCUGGAUUGCCAGCCGAGAAGUAAUGAGUCACAAACAAGAGAGAGCAGAUAAACAAGACUAGUGUACCUAUGUGAAUUCAUAAUCGCUUUUCAUUUCCCAUGAUUUAAAUCCAUCAAAUGGGAAAGACUGGCUAUUAUGUCAGAAAUAUAAGAGACUAUAGGCUGUCUGUUCUAAGCGUUGUACAUCUUCAUGGAUGAGAAAGCUGGGCUCCAAGAGUUUUUUAUUCUCUCCUCUCCUCCCUUGGCUUGAGACUGCAAUAAAAGGCAUGGUUACCUGCAGUAAAUACCAGACUGGCUUUGUGCUCAAUGAGGGAGCCAGGAGAAGAUGUGGUGGGAGCCAAAAUUGUGAAAGAGCAUCUGAGAGAAGAGAUGGCCACUGUCUUGCCUCCCCUCUGUGGAAACUGAAGGCGAUAGACAAAAGGGAAGGAAGAUGCACCGGUCCAGGUUGGCUGUGCUUCGGAGCUUGUCUUAGCUUCUCUACCUGCCCUGGGAGUGAACAGAAUUUCCAACCACUUCAAACUGCACUGCUGAAACUCCAAGGGCUACCCCUGCUCACACUCAGAGAGCCUGGUACAGGAGGGUAGCAGGAAUUGGUCUCUGAAAUAGGAAUACCAGGCUACUACUGUGGGUCAUUCACCGCUUCACAGCAUCAGAUGAACAAACAAGGCCUGGAAGAAACAGAGAAUUGGAGCAGCUGUACAGUGGAGAAGGACCUUUGAGAAAUGGAGAAAGAACAGAAUUAGCAAGAGACUUGUAGCACUAAGAUGUGGGCCAAGCAGCAACUGGACAAGGGGAUCUUCAGAGCUGUCCAAGUGCAAGAGUUGCCAGAGGGGGAUGCACGUCUUAAAGAGCAACUGCUUCAGUGUUUAAAUGAAAAGCACCGACAAAUAGGAGGCACAGGAUGACCCAGUAGUCCUUCUCUGGUGCUGGAAUUCUGUACAUCCUCUGGAGAGGCCCGGAGCCCUAUUUCAUGAUGGAAGUGAGGGAAUCAGCAGCAGCAACAGCAAUAAAACAAAUCUUCUCUGGAAAAUUCUGAGCAUCCAGCACUGUGCAGAAUAAGGAGACACUGUGCAAGCAAAAGAGACUGAGGGAGGCAAGAUGCAUGCAGGCACAUGCCACAGGAAUGUGGGCCUUCCUCCGGGCAAAUAUCUUGGUAAACCCUGAGCAGCAGGCUCUUCAGUGUGUCCUCAGCUUCUGAGGGACGUACUCAUCACCCCCACCCCUUUCCUCCACCCUUGGCUUCCAGGGAGUCCCUCAGCAUGGCGCCUUCUCUGACGCAGAUGUGCUUGGCUCUGAAGAGCACCACACACUCCCUGAAUUUUGACAACAAAGCUUUUGACUCAUUCCAGCCCUGUGCGUACUUGCAUUUGAACCAACAGGAGAGACCUGCCUGAGUAAGUUUUAUAAGGUUCUCACUAAGCCAUACUGUCUCCACCUCUCAACCCCCGAAUAUCUGCUGCAGAAAUGACACAUGAUAAGGCCACCCACCUAUUUUGUACAUCACUUAUUCUUCAAUGGACCAGAACAUAGAAUCCUGGCAUCUUGACAUUUCCAACCACAAACCCAAAGUCUGAAAGCAUUUACCCAGCUGUGUGACAACAGUAUUCAAGAACUUGUUUUUCCUAGUAGGAGAGACUCAGUUACUUCUACCCACAUUCACCUUUCUGUGUGGUGCGUUGGAAUGGCCAUGAAACCUUAGAGUCCUCCCCUAGGUGCUAUAGGAGGACUCCACCAAGCUCAGGACCACAACUCAAGUUUGUGGCUUUAUUUUUUAACUCUGAAGCCAUGCUUGAUUAAUCCAUGGGCCCCAAAGGCUGCUUUCCGGACUACACGUGGCAUAUCAGAUGUAGCUGUGUAAGGAAGAAAGCUCAGAGCUUUUCAGUGGGGUCUGCUCACUGUAGCUGAGGCUCUGCAGCUCAACAGAGCUACAAAAUCUGAAGGACCUGGAGCUCACAAGAGAUCUGAAGCUUGGAUGGGCCUGUGACUCCUGGUUGUCACAAUCCAAUGCAAGGCCAGCCUUUGUCCUAAUGACUGAAAGUUGGAGUAUAUAGAACCCCGGAAUCAUCAGAAGGGGUGCAAGAUUGCUCCCAGGAACCAGACAUACUUCUUUCUCCCACUGACUCCUCUUCACCAAGACAACCACAUUUUGUUCUUUCUUCUGCUUCCUCAUCCUCGGCAGAGCACACGCCUGAGCACUUUAUUUGGUACUCAUGUGUAUGAACCUGCUCUGUUCUUUAACGAUCUCAUCGACAAAAUGGGCAAUACAAUGGUGGAAUGGUCUUAAGCAAAAAUCUCCAUCUUAAAAAAAAUCCACAGGGUUGGGGAUUUAGCUCAGUGGUAGAGCGCUUGCCUAGCAAGCGCAAAGCCCUGGGUUCGGUCCCCAGCUCCGAAAAAAAAAAAAAAAUCCACAAAGAUAUCUCCAAUGUUUGUGAUACGAAGCUAAAGUUGGAAAGAGUAAAAAUAUUUUGCUGGAAUAAGAGGCUAUGUGUGGGUACAGAGACGGAAGCUCACUCAGGAUGUCAGUGAGGACAAAGUGGCUGCUUCUACACAGUGCUCCACUGUAGCAACAGGACUUGAGUGUGGACAGUGAAGGGCGCUGCAGUUGCGUGGACGCAAGACUAGAAUCUUAAGGCAUACAGAGUGUUAUGCCGGAAGUUAUAGACCAGAAUUUUCUGUAAGUUUAUUUAUAAUGGGCAGGUUUUCAGUUGGAAACUACCGGUACGACUGACAUGCAUUUGUGGGACUCCUGUCAACCCUUUGAACUCGUGAUGUGCCUCAGGGCGAGGCAGACACACGGGGAGUUGAAUGGAGGUGAAAUGCACCUCUAAAACUUGGUGGAAUUAAGACAAAAGUCCUUACAGCUGCUUUGUGGGUGAAGAGUUUGAACUGGGAACUCAUUCUACUACUGUCAGGAUUAUUCAAUGGGAGGUCCUGGACCUCCUGACACCAUAUGCCUAGAGUUUGGAUGUCAGCGUGUGACUAGAAUGCUAGGGUCACCUGCCUUUCUCCAACAUCCUCAAGACAUCUCCAUGUGGUUCUUGCAACAAUGAAGUUGGACCCUUUCCAUUGGCAGCUUGGGGCCCAGAGAAGAAAGGCAGUGACUGCCAGCCCCCAAGGAGCCCAGCAUCACUUCCAACAUUGUCUGUCACUCCAAGUGGUCACAGGCUACCCACACUGAAGGGGAAAAGGAAAAGAUGGAUGCUAUUGAUCAGCAGCAGGGACACUACCGAAUUUGUAACCAUCCCCAGUCUGCUAUCAGGUUGUCUGUGCUGUGUAUUUUGACCACACCAGUAGAAAAGUAAUUUGGACACACACAGUGGUCCUGGUAUGAGAUUUUCUUCAGACUGACUCAUGCAGCUGUCACUUCUGGCUUCAAAUUUGGACAACUGCAGGUAACAUUUUGGAGAACUUAAAAAGAAGCCAUUGCUGUGCUCCAUUCCCUGCCACCCUCCAAAACAACUUCAGAAACUAUUUCAGACAUUUGUUGCAAGCAUAAUGGCUGGAAUACGACUUGUUCCCUACUGCCUGGAUUUCCAAGUUGGAUUCCACCACCCCUCUCAUUGGCACCCACUUUCUAGUUUUUAAAAUGGUAUUUCAGUGGCAGGAGCUGCUGAUUUGACCCAAAGGAUUAGGCUCCUCUGAGCAUAAUCAGAUUUUGUCAGAUGGUCGGACCUGGUUGCUGUGGGGAUGAAUAGCAAGGAUCAAAUCCCUCAUAUGACAAAAGAGAGGGUGUAGACUGAGCGGCUCUUCCCUCUGAACUCCUUUCUUCCUUAGAGCGAGCCUUGAGCCUGUUCACUGAGAAGCCGAGCGGGGAUACUUAGAGCUGACAGACAGGUCCCCUUCUUCUUGGCACCUGGGACCUAUAGAGAGGAGAAGCACGCUGGAACAACAAAACCACACGCCAUGAAUCAGAAGAGUAGCUCGCAGGGAGGCCAUGUGGACUGUGUGCCCUCUCCACAGGAUAAGGGUACCUCAACUCAUGGAAGAAUCUUUCCUGGGCACUCAGUUCCACACUGUAAAUAACAGGCGAUAGAGC
Rattus norvegicus (Norway rat) is the source of this 4378-nucleotide long non-coding RNA. The record is from Ensembl. NCBI's taxonomy places the organism in Eukaryota, Metazoa, Chordata, Mammalia, Rodentia, Muridae.